Molecule: ribosomal RNA, 497 nt
Filed under: uncultured bacterium
Lineage: Bacteria
Description: partial 16S ribosomal RNA
Rfam family: Bacterial small subunit ribosomal RNA
Source: RNAcentral
GAUGAACGCUGGCGGCGUGCCUAAUACAUGCAAGUCGAGCGAACAGACGAGGAGCUUGCUCCUCUGACGUUAGCGGCGGACGGGUGAGUAACACGUGGAUAACCUACCUAUAAGACUGGGAUAACUUCGGGAAACCGGAGCUAAUACCGGAUAAUAUAUUGAACCGCAUGGUUCAAUAGUGAAAGACGGUUUUGCUGUCACUUAUAGAUGGAUCCGCGCCGCAUUAGCUAGUUGGUAAGGUAACGGCUUACCAAGGCAACGAUGCGUAGCCGACCUGAGAGGGUGAUCGGCCACACUGGAACUGAGACACGGUCCAGACUCCUACGGGAGGCAGCAGUAGGGAAUCUACCGCAAUAGGCGAAAGCCUGACGGAGCAACGCCGCGUGAGUGAUGAAGGUCUUCGGAUCGUAAAACUCUGUUAUUAGGGAAGAACAAAUGUGUAAGUAACUAUGCACGUCUUGACGGUACCUAAUCAGAAAGCCACGGCUAACUACGUG